GACGAACGCUGGCGGCGUGCUUAACACAUGCAAGUCGAACGGAAAGGCCCUGCUUUUGUGGGGUGCUCGAGUGGCGAACGGGUGAGUAACACGUGAGUAACCUGCCCUUGACUUUGGGAUAACUUCAGGAAACUGGGGCUAAUACCGGAUAGGAGCUCCUGCUGCAUGGUGGGGGUUGGAAAGGUUCGGCGGUUGGGGAUGGACUCGCGGCUUAUCAGCUUGUUGGUGGGGUAGUGGCUUACCAAGGCUUUGACGGGUAGCCGGCCUGAGAGGGUGACCGGCCACAUUGGGACUGAGAUACGGCCCAGACUCAUACGGGAGGCAGCAGUGGGGAAUAUUGCACAAUGGGCGGAAGCCUGAUGCAGCAACGCCGCGUGCGGGAUGACGGCCUUCGGGUUGUAAACCGCUUUCGCCUGUGACGAAGCGUGAGUGACGGUAAUGGGUAAAGAAGCACCGGCUAACUACGUG
RNAcentral lists this ribosomal RNA (468 nucleotides) under uncultured bacterium. RNAcentral's name for it is "partial 16S ribosomal RNA". It matches the Rfam family "Bacterial small subunit ribosomal RNA", at positions 28 to 507 of the family's 1533-position model. The record is from RNAcentral.